UCAGCACCACCACACCACUGUAAGCACCACCACCACCACCACCCCCACCACCACCAUGAUCAGCACCACCACACCACUGUAAGCACCACCACCCCCACCCCCACCACCACCAUGAUCAGCACCACCACACCACUGUAAGCACCACCACCACCACCACCCCCACCACCACCAUGAUCAGCACCACCACACCACUGUAGGCACCACCACCACCACCCCCAUCACGUCCACUCUCCACCACCUACACAUUCACUAUUUGUAGACUUUGCACCACCACCACCACCACCACCACUACCACCACCACCACCUUUACCCCCUUCCCCCACCGGCUUCCCGUAAAAGGUGUUUUGCUGUCAUCACCACAAACACGCGCAAAAAAUUCCAACCCACAUAAAAUACUUUCUUUUUUCUUUCUCUUUUAUCCCUCUCUCCCUGUUUUUUUCUCCCUCCCACCCCUCCCCUUGUACCAUGUCCCUAUUCUAAACUAUUAAUUCCCUUCUAUUUCCCUCACCAUUUAUUUGUCCCUUCCUCUAUCCACCCCUUUCCUUAGUCCCUCAUUUUUCCUCUCCCUACUUUACAUCAUUCUAUUAAGUAUCUCCCUCUUCCCGUCCUUUAUCAAUGCUUCUCUAAUUCCUUACGACUCCUUCACUCACCUUUUUCCAUUUCCCUUUAAUAUCCUCCUUCCUUACAUUCUCAUUUCCUUGACCAAUUUCCGUCUCUCCUGGUUAUCCUUCCCUCUACUCCUCCGCCUCCUCUAUUUCCCCUUUCCCUCGUCCUACUUUCCUCUUUCGUCUGCUUUUUUUUUCUGUCCGUACUUUUCUCUACCGUCCGCUUUCGCUUUCUUUUUCCUCUCCCUACUUUCCUCUUCCGUCUCCUUUAUUUUUAUUUUUCCUGUCCCUAUUUUCGUCCCCAAGAUUAAACAUCUAAAAAUUUCUCAAAUAUUCCACGGACUUCAAAAAAGUUUCCACACAAACUUUCAAAUGACUCGUUCACCUCAAAUGAGAGAGGAGAGGAAAAGAGGAGGAGGGGAGAGGAGAAGAGAUGAAAGGAGAGGAAAGGAGAGGAAAGGAUGAGAAAAUAGUGUAGACAGAAAAAAACUCAAAAAAAUGUUGGAAUGUAAAUGUAAAGUGCGUGUGUGUGUGUGUGUGUGUGUGUGUGUGUGUGUGUGUGUGUUCACGGGCGUGUAAAACAAACUAGCACGUGUCCGAAAUGGAAUUUAUUAACCUUACAAAAACGAAAACACACACACACACACACACACACACACACACACACACACACACACCGAGUAAGCAAAAACAAACUCACAAACAAACUAAACAAACAAAAGGAGAGUCAACAAGCCGUGGGGCGAGAGAGUAAAGAAAGAGGAAUGAGAAGACGGCGGAAAAGGGAAAGGGGGAGAGGAAACCGAAUGAAGAAGGACAGAGAAAGACGGAGAAGAGAACAAUAAUAACGAGGUGGGGAGACGAAAUAAAAAAAAGGAAUCAGAGGAAAAAAAGUGAGGAAGAGGUAGAGUGUGACAAAAAAGGAGAGAAAAGUGAAAAUUAGAUGCAGAAAACGAGAAUGAAGGAGGAAAAAACAAGAAAGAAGAACAGAAAGAGGAUAACUAAAAAAUAACAAAAUAACAAUUAAGAAAAAAAUAAAAAGAGAAUUGCACGGAAAGUCAAGAAGAGAGAGAAAGAAAAGAGGAUCUGAUAAGUCUCAACGCAACGAGUGAUUUGCCUCGAGGGGAGAAAGAAAGAAAAAGGAGAUAAUGAGCGAGAAGGAGAUGUAGAAACAGGGCAAAGGAGAAGUAAGAAAAUUAGAUGAUAAAAAAAAGAAAAGAAAAAAGAAGUAAGGGUUAUGAAGUAAAGUGAACUGAAGGAAAUGGAUUAUAUUACAGCAAGAAGAUAAGAGAGGGGCAUUUGGUAUAAAAAAUGGAAAAUAAAAAAAUAAAGACGAGGUAGAGAAAAGGUGAAAACAAAUUAGGAGAGAAAAGAAAUGUGAGAAGGAAGUAAAGUCAUAAGAAAACGGUGAAGGAGUAAGUUAGGAAGAGAGAGGAAGGAGGGAUUCUUAUGGAAAAGGAAAAAAAAGACGAGAUAGAGAAAAAAAAGGAGACAACGAAAGUAGGAGAUAGAAGUGAGAAGGAAGUGGUCAUGUGAAAACGCAAGUGAAGGAGAAUGUACGGAAGAGAAAAAUAGAUUAAAAAAGAAGAGUUGGGAGGAAAGAAAUGAAAAAAGUAGAGGAUAAGGGAAGAGUUAGAAGGAAGUAGACUCAUAAGAAAACGCAAGUCAAAGAGAAUGUACGGGAGAGAAAAAUAGAUUAAAAAAGAAGAGUUGGGAGGAAAGAAAUGAAAAAAGUAGAUAAGGGAAGAGUUAGAAGGAAGUAGACUCAUAAGAAAACGCAAGUGAAGGAGAAUGUACGGAAGAUAAAAAUAAAUAAAAAAAGAAGAGCUAGGAGGAAAUAAAUUAAAAAAAAGUAGAGGCUAAGGGAAGAGUUAGAAGGAAGAAGACUCAUAAGAAAACGAAGGUGAAGGAGAAUGUACGGAAGAUUUCUCGGUUCGUCUCCUCGCAACGCCUAAUUCGCCUCAAGUAUUGGGGAGGCGAAAAUAAUGACAACGUUUAACCAAGCUCAGGUGUGUCUCAGGGCAAUUAAGAGGGAGUGCAAGUUAAUGACACCUGGACCUCACCUGAACUCCGUCUGACUCACCUACGAAACUGCAGCCGACCUCCACUUCCUCCUUCCUUCAUUCCUUUCCCUUUCCUUCAUUUAUUCUGCCUUUCUUCCCUAAUAUGGAUCUCGCUCUCACCCCACCUGACGCACCUAAGAAAAUAUCCACCCUCACUCCUUCCUUGCUUCACUCCCUUCUCAUUCAUAUAUUCUUUCUAUCUUUCUUCAGUCCUUCCUACUUUCUAUUUAAUGACCUUUUCUUUCCAUUAUUCUUGAUUCUUUCCAUUUCAGACCUCAGUUACCUAAAUUUUCCUUGCAUCCCACCUACCUGCCCCACCUAAAAUUUGCUCACCUUCACGGCUUCCCCUUUUCAUUAAUUUAUUUCUACUUUCUCCAGUCAUUCCAUCUUCCCUUAAUAUAUUGCCUUUCGUUCCCUCCCAUUCUUCUUUUUUUUUUUGCGUUCGUUUAUUCCUUGUUCCAUCUUUCGUCUUUCAAUCUUUCCUUCAUUUCAUUUUCCUUUCAAUCAGUUUCUUUGUUUCUGUUUCAAUUUCCUUCUUCACCUUUCACUCCUUUCUUCACUAUUAUUUCCUUCCUUCUUUCUUCCCUCAAAAAUGCCGUCUAUCGCCCAUUUACUGACUUUCAUUGAUUAUCUCUCCAUGUUUAUCCUUUUCUUUCCAUAUAUUGUCUACUUCUCUUCCUUCCUUCCUUCACAUCUAUUCUUUCACUUCUUUUUCUACAUCCUUCCGUCCUUCCUUCCUUUCUGCCUUUCGCCCUCCUUUCAAUCCUUCAUUCCCUCAUUCGCUUCCUCUCCUUCCUCCUCCCUGAAUUUCUUCCUCUCCUUCUAUUCUUAAGAAGGAGGGAGAAGGAAGAAGACAUGAAAACAGAAUGGAGGGAAGGAGGGAGAGAGACGUGUACUGGAGGGAAAAAACUCGGGUGUAAAAUAUUGAGCAGAAAUGUCUGGCGGAGGGAGGGAGGGAGAGAAAGAGAGAGGGAGAGAAAGAGAGAGCGAGAGCGAGAGAGAGAGAGAGAGAGAGAGAGAGAGAGAGAGAGAGAGAGAGAGAGAGAGAGAGAGAGAGAGAGAGAGAGAGAGAGAGAGAGAGAGAGAGAGAGAGAGAGAGAGGAAGCAAUCGAAAAUCAUCCAGCACGCCAAGUAAACACACACACACACACACACACACACACACACACACACACACACACACACACACACACACACACACACACACACACACACACACACACACACACACACACACACACACACACACACACACACACACACA
Eriocheir sinensis (Chinese mitten crab) is the source of this 3932-nucleotide long non-coding RNA. RefSeq lists it as uncharacterized. The transcript is spliced from 2 exons. NCBI's taxonomy places the organism in Eukaryota, Metazoa, Arthropoda, Malacostraca, Decapoda, Varunidae. The record is from RefSeq and is a predicted model, not a curated record.